GGCUUCAUGGUGGCUAUUUUCUGAAGGUGGCAGGAGAAGAUAAAACCAAAAUUCAGGGUUUGCUUUUUAAAUACCAUGCUAGUAAAAUCAGAACAGUAAUGACGGGAACCAAAAGAUCUAUCUGAAAUGUUCCUAAGCCAGACAGAUGUGAGGACGCACAAUGUAAACGUUAUGCAGCAGCUUUGGGAGAGGCUUUUUAUGGCUCUGUUUCUUUCCACUCACAGCACAGACUCGAGAAAUGUAGGGAACUCGAGAGCAGCCACUCGGCCCCAGGAUCAACCCAGCACCGAAGAAAAACAACCAGAAGAAAUUAUUCUUCAGCCUGAAAUGAAGCCGGGAUCAAAUGGUUGCUGAUCAGAGCCCAUAUUUAAAUUGGAAAAGUCAAAUUGAGCAUUAUUAAAUAAAGCUUGUUUAAUAUGUCUCAAACAGAAAA
RNAcentral lists this long non-coding RNA (433 nucleotides) under Homo sapiens (human). Its description in RNAcentral is "HSALNT0387559". Lineage: Eukaryota; Metazoa; Chordata; Mammalia; Primates; Hominidae. The record is from RNAcentral.